GAUGAAGAACGUAGCGAAAUGCGAUAAGUAGUGUGAAUUGCAGAAUUCAGUGAAUCAUCGAAUCUUUGAACGCACAUUGCGCCCUUUGGUAUUCCAAAGGGCAUGCCUGUUCGAGCGUCAUUUGUACCCUCAAGCUUUGCUUGGUGUUGAGCGUCUUGUCUCUAGCUUUGCUGGAGACUCGCCUUAAAGUAAUUGGCAGCCGGCCUACUGGUUUCGGAGCGCAGCACAAGUCGCACUCUCUAUCAGCAAAGGUCUAGCAUCCAUUAAGCCUUUUUUUUCAACUUUUGACCUCGGAUCAGGUAGGGAUACCCGCUGAACUUAAGCAUAUCAAUAAGCGGAGG
Molecule: unclassified non-coding RNA, 341 nt
Filed under: soil metagenome
Description: partial contains 5.8S ribosomal RNA, internal transcribed spacer 2, and large subunit ribosomal RNA
Rfam family: 5.8S ribosomal RNA (bases 1-120)
Source: RNAcentral